This is a small nuclear RNA of Suricata suricatta (meerkat), 107 nucleotides long. Lineage: Eukaryota; Metazoa; Chordata; Mammalia; Carnivora; Herpestidae. The record is from Ensembl.
GUGCUCACUUCAGCAGCACAUAUACUAAAAUUGGAGUGAUACAGUGAAGAUUAGCAUGGGCCUUGUGCAAGGAUGACAUGCAAAUUCAUGAAGCAUUAAAAAAAGAA